AGUUGAAACUAGAAAGAUAGGAAAAGAUAUCUAUGUGAAAGGUAACCAAGUUCAGGUGGCUGUGUUGCAGUCUGCGUAGAUGACUAAAAGUUUAGGCCAGGAAGAAACUAUGAAAAUUGCAAAUGCACUCUCUCAGCACAUAAAGACGAUGUUAGUCAAGGAGAGACGGUAAAGACAUUCCCAUCACAGUCAGCUUAGAUCCUGCAAUGCCCACAGUGUUUGCCCAGGAAUGCGACAGGAAGAUCACGGGGUUCUCAUACCUACUGCAUCCUGAAGUGACACCUGCCUGUGUGUGGGAACAGGAGACACCAAACUGGAGGGGGCAAAAGGGAAAGGUCGGAAGGAAGAAACAGCAGCACAGCAGCAGCUGAGGGCUUGACACCUGUCAACAGUGGGUAGGAAAAGCACUCAGAGGCUCCUCAAGGAAAUUCUGGAUUCGAACCAGUUAGUGCAGAACUGAGAGUCAGUUGGACCUGGUACACCCAGCAGGCCUCAACAGCCUCAGUGUGGGCACACUGCCAAGAGCACAGGGUCACUCUCUCGGAUGGACAAGUGCUCCGCCAAACUCACUUUCAAUGCCAUUUAAAAGCUGGAGUCUUCUGCUGAGCAUGGUGGCACAGGCCUGAGAGCCCAGCAGCAGGAAGGCUGCAGCAGGAGGAUUGCUGCAAGUCUGGGGCAUCCAAGGCCAGCCUGGGCUACAUAGUGAGACCCUGUGUCAAACAUUUUUUUCUUUUGUUUUAUAUUAAUUACAGUUUAUUCACUUUGUAUCCCAGCUGUCGCCCCCUCCCUCAUCAAACAUUUUUUUUAAAGUUCACAACCAGGAUCUUUUCUGCCUUUGUAGAAUUUGGGUAUAAAUGUACAGUUCAGGACAAGCUUGUGAAAAUGAGCAACAACAUUCUCAAACAACCAGAGGGUCAAUAUGCAAAUGAAAUCAGGUCACAAUCUGAGGUGAGUGAAAACAACACGAUUUGCAAAAGCAAACACACCCUUCCCCCUAAACACACACACACACACACACUAAAGGUUGGAGUGUGGCUCAGAGGUAGAGCACAUGCCUAGGAAGCAACAGACCCUGGUUCAAACAUUAACACAGCAAAAAAUAAAGAAUUAAAGUCAGAGGAGAACUGGGUAGAGACUAGGGAGGAAGAGAGAGAGGAAAGAGGAAAGGAUGGAGGGAGGGAGGGCAGAAGAAAGAAGUGAGGGAGGGAGAUGGGAAAGGAAGUAAGAGAAAGGGAGGAAGGGAAGGAGAGAGAAGGGAGGGAGGGAGCUCCCAGGCCAACAGCUGUAUCUGUGAUGGAGAAGAUGGCUACUGAGUAGAGACAGAGCUCCUGUAAAGCACUUAUUCAUUGUGCUUGAGCCAGAGUUCAAAGGUGUCACCUCUACAUAUUAGGAUUUCCAUCCCACUCAGCCAAGUAGAGCACACCUUCUCUCGUCACUCAGGGCUGUGGGUCUUUGACCGCUGGAUGGUCAGAGGAGCCUGGCUGGAGCCAUGGUAUGUCCAAGAGGACCACAGCUUUCAGGAACUUUAUUUUCCUUCCACCUUCUCCCCCUUUGCUCAGGUGUCUGCAGAGCUCAGGACCACUCUGUGGUGGCCCCAACCCACUCGGCAGCCUGUGCCGUGGGAGCUGCUGACCAGUCCUCAGCGGCUGGCUGAGCACUCCAGUCCUCAGGAGGGAACUGCUGGAUGGGCACAGGGGGCGCCUGCACACCCUCAGGCCAGGCUGCCACCUCGGGCUGAGCGGCAGUGAACUCAGCAGCUGGCACAGUCCAUUCGCCCUGGAAUUCCUCGUUGGUCACGGCCUUCUCAGCAGCAGCCUGCUCCUCCUUCUCAGUCUCCUCCAGGUCUCUGCAGAAGUAAAGAUCAGGCAUAACCUCCCACGGGGGCUCACGGGAGAUAGUGCCACGCAUGUGCAGCACUUCCUGGGCAGCAUCCGCCACAUCAGACCCCCUGGAUGUAUUGCUCCAUCUGAAAGUCAAGGUUGGUGCCAUCUAAGUGGGUCCCUGUGGUGAGGAAUUUGAGGACAUCCUCCUCCUUCAUCUGCAGGACAUCAAGGGCUCUGGACAUUGUGAAAGUUUUCCCUUUAAGUUACGCUGGGAAUCAAAAACAAUGUCGUAUGGACCCGUCCCUGGGCAGCGCGGGGGGGGGGGGGGAAGCUUAUUCCUCAUGUAUCUUAGUUUAAUUUGUGUAUGACCGCCAGACGUGUGUGGGUGCCCAGUGCCCCCGAGGCCAGAAAAGGAUGUUGGAUACACUGGCACUGUGGUCUUGUGCCCAUGAACCUCCAGUGCGGGUGUAGGAGAUGGAACUUGGAUGCUCAGUAAUGGCGAUCAUCUGAGCCAUCUCCCCAGGCUCUAGUGUUUGUAAAGAUGUAUACACACCUGAGGUGUCCGUUAUAACUCAGGCAAGGUAAGAGAUUAAUGUUGAUAACUAGUGACAAUUAUCACAAACAAAAGACCCAUGAAAGUUCUUCAGAUGGAACUAUCUCUCAGCUAUCUCACCGUGCCCUCACAAUCCUACGUGACAUGCCUCAGGGUGACACAAGGCCUGCAGAUGAGCUGGACCAAGGAGAAGGAGCACCGUGCGCACUGUGACACAGCGUGAGGACUUUGUCACCUUCUGCCCUGAACACGAGGACUGAGACACUACAGAGGCAGGCCCAGUAACUCAGACUCCUCCAUGUCCCUAGUAGCAUGAACAAGUGGCUCAAGGACCCCCCUCGUGUCCCCAGCAUGAGUGCGACGGGGAAGAAGACAGGAGCUUUAGUGAGACUCCCUCAAACAGUGCACAGCUCAAGAUCUGCAAAUGGCUCGUUUCUGGAAGUUUCCGUGGAUUGCUUUGGACCGUGGUGAUCACUGUAAUUGAAACCAGGGAAAGGCGAGCGAGCUCUGGCCGAGCAGGGUUCAUUCCCACAGUUGGGCUUUAGAGAGCCAGUGUGAUGCCUGCUGGACACGAAGGAGGCUUGACGACUUAAGUCAGUCACAGAGAGACAGUGCGUGAGCGCACUCUGUCAGCUCACAGAAACUGAGGCAGAAGGAUGGGCGCCAGAGUUGUGCAGAGGAGAGCGAGGACAGCUGCUGUUGUGGGGUGCAGGGCUUCAUGUCAGCAGAUGAAGGGGUCUGGGGAGGCGCUGCAGGGGGCCGAGCACUGGGAAUGACUUGUACCACUGAGCUGUAUGCUGCAAAUGGAGAGGACGCGCUGGGGGAGGCGCCCUGGAGUGUGCAUGGUUCCCAGCACCAUGAGAAAUAAAACAGUCAG
Molecule: long non-coding RNA, 3253 nt
Organism: Meriones unguiculatus (Mongolian gerbil)
Lineage: Eukaryota; Metazoa; Chordata; Mammalia; Rodentia; Muridae
Exons: 3
Source: RefSeq, a predicted model, not a curated record